UACAGAGGGGGCAAGCGUUGUUCGGAAUUACUGGGCGUAAAGGGCGCGUAGGUGGCCUGCUAAGUCGAACGUGAAAUCCCUGGGCUCAACCCAGGAACUGCGUCCGAUACUGGUUGGCUUGAAUCCGGGAGAGGGAUGUGGAAUUCCAGGUGUAGCGGUGAAAUGCGUAGAUAUCUGGAGGAACACCGGUGGCGAAGGCGGCAUCCUGGACCGGCAUUGACGCUGAGGCGCGAAAGCUAGGGGAGCAAACGGGG
This 254-nucleotide ribosomal RNA is filed under the name uncultured bacterium. RNAcentral describes it as "partial 16S ribosomal RNA". It matches the Rfam family "Bacterial small subunit ribosomal RNA", at positions 524 to 777 of the family's 1533-position model. The record is from RNAcentral.